UAAUGUCUGGGAAACUGCCUGAUGGAGGGGGAUAACUACUGGAAACGGUAGCUAAUACCGCAUAAUGUCGCAAGACCAAAUGGGGGACCUUCGGGCCUCAUGCCAUCAGAUGUGCCCAGAUGGGAUUAGCUAGUAGGUGGGGUAACGGCUCACCUAGGCGACGAUCCCUAGCUGGUCUGAGAGGAUGACCAGCCACACUGGAACUGAGACACGGUCCAG
RNAcentral lists this ribosomal RNA (219 nucleotides) under uncultured bacterium. RNAcentral's name for it is "partial 16S ribosomal RNA". It matches the Rfam family "Bacterial small subunit ribosomal RNA", at positions 111 to 334 of the family's 1533-position model. The record is from RNAcentral.